AUUGAACGCUGGCGGCAUGCCUUACACAUGCAAGUCGAACGGUAACGGGCCUUCGGGUGCCGACGAGUGGCGAACGGGUGAGUAAUACAUCGGAACGUGCCCGAUCGUGGGGGAUAACGAGGCGAAAGCUUUGCUAAUACCGCGUACGAUCUACGGAUGAAAGCAGGGGACCGCAAGGCCUUGCGCGGACGGAGCGGCCGAUGGCAGAUUAGGUAGUUGGUGGGAUAAAAGCUUACCAAGCCGACGAUCUGUAGCUGGUCUGAGAGGAUGAUCAGCCACACUGGGACUGAGACACGGCCCAGACUCCUACGGGAGGCAGCAGUGGGGAAUUUUGGACAAUGGGCGCAAGCCUGAUCCAGCCAUGCCGCGUGCAGGAUGAAGGCCUUCGGGUUGUAAACUGCUUUUGUACGGAACGAAAAGCCUUCUUUUAAUACAGGAGGGUCAUGACGGUACCGUAAGAAUAAGCACCGGCUAACUACGUG
This 482-nucleotide ribosomal RNA is filed under the name uncultured bacterium. Its description in RNAcentral is "partial 16S ribosomal RNA". It matches the Rfam family "Bacterial small subunit ribosomal RNA", at positions 30 to 507 of the family's 1533-position model. The record is from RNAcentral.